This 257-nucleotide unclassified non-coding RNA is filed under the name plant metagenome. RNAcentral's name for it is "partial contains small subunit ribosomal RNA, internal transcribed spacer 1, and 5.8S ribosomal RNA". The record is from RNAcentral.
UUUCCGUAGGUGAACCUGCGGAAGGAUCAUUAACGAGUUAGGGUCUUCUAGGCCCGACCUCCCAACCCUUUGUUUACUGAACCAUUGUUGCCUCGGUGGGUCCGUCUUACGACCGCCGGGGGAUCGCCGCGGGGCGCCCCCUGGCCAGCGCCCACCGAUAGCCCAACCUUUAAAACCCUUUGUGAAUCGUGUCUUAUGACUAAAUUUAUGAUUAAACAAUCAAAACAAAACUUUCAACAACGGAUCUCUUGGUUCUG